UACUUGUGUCUUGUCUAAUAGUUGAUCUACUUAUUCCUGAAGUUCCUGCGUUUAAGAAGACUAUAAUUCCAAUCAAGCUAAUAAUGAUCAAUAAAGGUACACUAUAUAAAAUAUGUAAGAACAAGUUACUCACAUUAACAUAAUCUAGGCCAGUUAGUCAAAAUAACCACCUAUUCUCAAUAUUAUCCACUCAAAUGAGGAUAUCGCUGGAGAAGGUUCAACACCUCGAAUAAAUAAUUCACCCUAACCAAAAAAAAUAUUGCCAAUGGGAUAGAAUCAGAAAAUAAACGAAUUCAACUUCAACACAAGAAACGACAUACAGGAACCUCAAAUAUAAACAAUUACAUGAAGAUAAACAUGAACAUAUGGAUAUAUGUAUUAGAUAAUGGAUAAAGUAUUAUACUUUGUAGAGACAAUCGGGGGGUACUUGAAUGAAAAUGGUAGCAGCUACAGAAGACGUGGCCGAAGCAGCUACCGGCCAAAUGUGACAACGGUGUAACUUCUGCUUCUCACCUUCGUACCCACGCAUAAUAAUAUCCUUCCAUCAUCACCACCGAUUUCUAGAUCAAUCGAGCCUUCAACCUUGACGAGAACCAUCAAAAGCACAGCAAUUCUCUGAUCCCCUUUCUUUAUUUAAAAUUAAAACCCUAGGUCUUCGUAAUUUGUCAAUUCCAGAUGGUUUGGAACCCUAGAUGGAUAGAAGUAUCUUAGAACAACAGAAACCCCAAAAUUGAGAAGCAAGAAACGGGUGAAUUCGACGAUUAGGGCUUUGGUGUCAAUAAAAUCGAGGGGUUUGACGAAGAAUUCAACAGAUUUAGAUCUAGAGAGAGAAAGAGAGAGGAGAUAGACGAUCGGAUUACCAAAAUCGAGAGAUUUCAGGGCCGGACUUCGAACGAAUGGACGGAGAUAUCGCGUAGAGAGAAGAGAGGGAGAGAAAAGAAACGGAGAGGUGUGGGUUAUUAUGCACUGAGACNNNNN
RNAcentral lists this long non-coding RNA (978 nucleotides) under Panax ginseng (ginseng). Its description in RNAcentral is "long non-coding RNA (PGIN_LNC013714)". Lineage: Eukaryota; Viridiplantae; Streptophyta; Magnoliopsida; Apiales; Araliaceae. The record is from RNAcentral.